GAGGGUGUGGUGUACCGGCUGCACGCCGCCCUGUGGAGGCGGAGGUCCUGGGUUCGAUUCCCGCCACCCUCCCCA
This 75-nucleotide transfer RNA is filed under the name Deinococcus radiotolerans. Its description in RNAcentral is "tRNA-His". It matches the Rfam family "tRNA". Rfam says of the family: Transfer RNA (tRNA) molecules are approximately 80 nucleotides in length. Their secondary structure includes four short double-helical elements and three loops (D, anti-codon, and T loops). The record is from RNAcentral. Lineage: Bacteria; Thermotogati; Deinococcota; Deinococci; Deinococcales; Deinococcaceae.